UACGUAGGGUGCUAGCGUUGUUCGGAAUCAUUGGGCGUAAAGCGCGUGUAGGUGGUCAUCUAAGUCGAGUGUGAAAGCCCUGGGCUCAACCCGGGAAGUGCAUCCGAAACUAGUUGUCUAGAAGACAUUAGAGGAAGGUGGAAUUCCAAGUGUAGAGGUGAAAUUCGUAGAUAUUUGGAGGAAUACCGGCGGCGAAGGCGGCCUUCUGGGAUGCUCUUGACACUGAGACGCGAAAGCGUGGGUAGCAAACAGG
Molecule: ribosomal RNA, 253 nt
Filed under: uncultured bacterium
Lineage: Bacteria
Description: partial 16S ribosomal RNA
Rfam family: Bacterial small subunit ribosomal RNA
Source: RNAcentral